RNAcentral lists this ribosomal RNA (254 nucleotides) under uncultured bacterium. RNAcentral's name for it is "partial 16S ribosomal RNA". It matches the Rfam family "Bacterial small subunit ribosomal RNA", at positions 524 to 776 of the family's 1533-position model. The record is from RNAcentral.
UACGUAGGGUGCGAGCGUUGUCCGGAAUUAUUGGGCGUAAAGAGCUUGUAGGCGGUUUGUCGCGUCUGCCGUGAAAAUUCGAGGCUCAACCUCGAACUUGCGGUGGGUACGGGCAGACUAGAGUGUGGUAGGGGAGACUGGAAUUCCCGGUGUAGAGGUGAAAUUCGUAGAUAUCGGGAGGAACACCAGUGGCGAAGGCGGCGAUCCUGGGAAGAUACUGACGCUGAGGUGCGAAAGCGUGGGGAGCAAACAGG